Molecule: ribosomal RNA, 846 nt
Filed under: fungal sp.
Lineage: Eukaryota; Fungi
Description: eukaryotic LSU rRNA
Rfam family: Eukaryotic large subunit ribosomal RNA (bases 363-846)
Source: RNAcentral
UGGCACAAACCUCUGAAUUUUAGGUCUCUCUGAGCACCAAACAAAUGAAUCAAAACUUUCAACAACGGAUCUCUUGGUUCGGGCAUCGAUGAAGAACGCAGCGAAAUGCGAUAAGUAAUGUGAAUUGCAGAACUCAGCGAAUCAUCGAAUCUUUGAACGCACAUUGCGCCCGGGAGUAUUCUCCCGGGCAUGCCUGUUCGAGCGUCAUUUCAACCCUCGCGCCCCGCGCGGUGUUGGGGCCCUGCGGCUGCCGCAGGCCCUGAAAUCUAGUGGCGGGCUCGCCAGGAUCCCCAGCGCAGUAAUUCUUCUCGCUGGAGGCUCCGGGCGGGUCCCUGCCGUGAAACCCCCAUCUUUUACAAGGUUGACCUCGAAUCAGGUAGGAAUACCCGCUGAACUUAAGCAUAUCAAUAAGCGGAGGAAAAGAAACCAACAGGGAUUGCCCUAGUAACGGCGAGUGAAGCGGCAACAGCUCAAAUUUGAAAUCUGGCCUCGGCCCGAGUUGUAAUUUGCAGAGGAAGAUUCUGGCGCGGUGCCUUCUGAGUCCACUGGAACGUGGCGCCACAGAGGGUGAGAGCCCCGUGUAGUUGGACACCAAGCCUGUGUGAAUCUCCUUCGACGAGUCGAGUAGUUUGGGAAUGCUGCUCUAAAUGGGAGGUAAAUUCCUUCUAAAGCUAAAUAUUGGCCCGAGACCGAUAGCGCACAAGUAGAGUGAUCGAAAGAUGAAAAGCACUUUGAAAAGAGAGUCAAAUAGCACGUGAAAUUGUUGAAAGGGAAGGAUUUGCGACCAGACUUGCGCCGUACGGAUCUCCCGGUGUUCUCACCGGUGCACUCCGUGCGGUUCAGGCC